This is a long non-coding RNA of Chelonia mydas (Green sea turtle), 676 nucleotides long. RefSeq lists it as uncharacterized. The transcript is spliced from 2 exons. NCBI's taxonomy places the organism in Eukaryota, Metazoa, Chordata, Testudines, Cheloniidae. The record is from RefSeq and is a predicted model, not a curated record.
UAAGGAUUUAUUCUUAUGGGAAGGAUGUUAGGCUGAAGAUUUCGAGGGAGGGAGACACUGCAGUUACCCUUCUGAGACCAGUGGGACAAGUGGACUCAGGAGGGUUUGUCCACAGUGGCAUGGAUGUUUAAAUAUGUGACAAUUGCUUCCAUGUUCAAAUAAAACUUUAGUAUGCAGUAGAGGUCUUGCCACUUUGUGCAGUGCACCAUUCAGAGCACACCAAGCUUGAAAAUGUCCAAAGAGACCUCCUAGACUUUAUCCAAUGCCACUUUAAAUAUGGUGAUGGUGGGGAGAAAAAUAAUGCUGAUCACCAGCCCAACCCUGUCCUUUUUCUAUAUACCUCUUUAGAUGAUACAUAAGUCUCCCCAGUUGGUUUGGCUGCCAUUCUGCUUUACUCCAAUACCUGCAAGUUAAAAUUUCUUGAACUCUGUAGUGUGCUGUAUAUUAUGAAAGUGUACCAUCUCAAAGCAUGUGAAACUGUGAUCACCUGGGAUUAGCCAAAAAAAAUCUGGUGCUCGUUUUUUUUGGAUGACUGACUUCAUAGAAUCAUAUAGAGAGACAGGCUGGAAGAGGCCUUGAAGUCAAGUUGUGCACCUGUGGAGAGGCAAGACCAAAAAUAAUCUUCACAUCAUCUGGACUGAGGCAAAGCAUAAGACAUUUCAGCCCCAAAGGAGGG